Molecule: ribosomal RNA, 253 nt
Filed under: uncultured bacterium
Lineage: Bacteria
Description: partial 16S ribosomal RNA
Rfam family: Bacterial small subunit ribosomal RNA
Source: RNAcentral
UACGGGGGGGGCAAGCGUUGUUCGGAAUUACUGGGCGUAAAGGGUUCGUAGGUGGCUCGCUAAGUCAGACGUGAAAUCCCUCAGCUUAACUGGGGAACUGCGUCUGAGACUGAUGAGCUUGAGUGCAGGAGAGGAACGCGGAAUUCCAGGUGUAGCGGUGAAAUGCGUAGAUAUCGGGAGGAACACCAGUGGCGAAGGCGGCGAUCUGGGAAGAUACUGACGCUGAGGUGCGAAAGCGUGGGGAGCAAACAGG